RNAcentral lists this ribosomal RNA (231 nucleotides) under uncultured bacterium. RNAcentral describes it as "partial 16S ribosomal RNA". It matches the Rfam family "Bacterial small subunit ribosomal RNA", at positions 118 to 350 of the family's 1533-position model. The record is from RNAcentral.
UGAGUAACCUGCCCUGGACUUUGGGAUAACCCUCGGAAACGGGGGCUAAUACCGGAUAUGACGGCUCACCGCAUGGUGUGGUUGUGGAAAGUUUUUCGGUCUGGGAUGGGCUCGCGGCCUAUCAGCUUGUUGGUGAGGUAACGGCUCACCAAGGCUUCGACGGGUAGCCGGCCUGAGAGGGCGACCGGCCACACUGGGACUGAGAUACGGCCCAGACUCCUACGGGAGGCA